Molecule: ribosomal RNA, 466 nt
Filed under: Vreelandella stevensii
Lineage: Bacteria; Pseudomonadati; Pseudomonadota; Gammaproteobacteria; Oceanospirillales; Halomonadaceae
Description: partial 16S ribosomal RNA
Rfam family: Bacterial small subunit ribosomal RNA
Source: RNAcentral
CCUACGGGUGGGCAGCAGUGGGGAAUAUUGGACAAUGGGCGAAAGCCUGAUCCAGCCAUGCCGCGUGUGUGAAGAAGGCCUUCGGGUUGUAAAGCACUUUCAGUGGGGAAGAAAGCCUUAGGGCUAAUACCCUCGAGGAAGGACAUCACCCACAGAAGAAGCACCGGCUAACUCCGUGCCAGCAGCCGCGGUAAUACGGAGGGUGCGAGCGUUAAUCGGAAUUACUGGGCGUAAAGCGCGCGUAGGCGGUCUGAUAAGCCGGUUGUGAAAGCCCCGGGCUCAACCUGGGAACGGCAUCCGGAACUGUCAGGCUAGAGUGCAGGAGAGGAAGGUAGAAUUCCCGGUGUAGCGGUGAAAUGCGUAGAGAUCGGGAGGAAUACCAGUGGCGAAGGCGGCCUUCUGGACUGACACUGACGCUGAGGUGCGAAAGCGUGGGUAGCAAACAGGAUUAGAUACCCGGGUAGUC